This 252-nucleotide ribosomal RNA is filed under the name uncultured bacterium. RNAcentral's name for it is "partial 16S ribosomal RNA". It matches the Rfam family "Bacterial small subunit ribosomal RNA", at positions 524 to 776 of the family's 1533-position model. The record is from RNAcentral.
UACGUAGGUCCCGAGCGUUGUCCGGAUUUAUUGGGCGUAAAGCGAGCGCAGGUGGUUUAUUAAGUCUGGUGUAAAAGGCAGUGGCUCAACCAUUGUAUGCAUUGGAAACUGGUAGACUUGAGUGCAGGAGAGGAGAGUGGAAUUCCAUGUGUAGCGGUGAAAUGCGUAGAUAUAUGGAGGAACACCGGUAGCGAAAGCGGCUCUCUGGCCUGUAACUGACACUGAGGCUCGAAAGCGUGGGGAGCAAACAGG